AAAACCAUUGCAUUUCAUGCAUCAUUUGCAUAACAAAUUUUCUUUCGCCAGAUGUCUUAUUGGUUAUUCUUCUGUGCUUCAGCCAAGUCGACUCACCGAUACAACACUCGUGCCAAUCAACCCAGAACUAUGGAACAUUUUGAACAAAAGACCAGAGAGCUGAAGGAUGAUAUUACCCGAUUGACUUCCAUGAUGGAGUCUGUUCUUGCUGCGCAAAAUCAGUC
RNAcentral lists this long non-coding RNA (224 nucleotides) under Lathyrus oleraceus (garden pea). RNAcentral's name for it is "Pisum sativum (pea) long non-coding RNA (PSAT_LNC005208)". The record is from RNAcentral. Lineage: Eukaryota; Viridiplantae; Streptophyta; Magnoliopsida; Fabales; Fabaceae.